RNAcentral lists this ribosomal RNA (494 nucleotides) under uncultured bacterium. RNAcentral describes it as "bacterial SSU rRNA". It matches the Rfam family "Bacterial small subunit ribosomal RNA", at positions 8 to 522 of the family's 1533-position model. The record is from RNAcentral.
AGAGUUUGAUCAUGGCUCAGGACGAACGCUUGCGGCGUGCCUAAGAAAUGCAAGUCGAGCGGGGCGCUUCGGCGCCCAGCGGCGAACGGUCGCGUAACACGUAAGCAACCUGCCCCGAAGACCGGGACAACAUCUCGAAAGGGGUGCUAAUACCGGAUGUGGCCCUUCUCUGGCAUCAGGGAAGGAUUAAAGCCUGCACAAGGGCUUCGGGAGGGGCUUGCGGCCUAUCAGCUAGUUGGUGGGGUAACGGCCUACCAAGGCGACGACGGGUAGCUGGUCUGAGAGGACGUCCAGCCGGACUGGGACUGAGAGACGGCCCAGACUCCUACGGGGGGCAGCAAUUAGGAAUCUUGCGCAAUGGGCGAAAGCCUGACGCAGCGACGCCGCGUGGAGGAGGAAGUCCUUCGGGAUGUAAACUCCUUUUGAGUGGGAAGAAAACAAUGACGGUACCACUUGAAUAAGCCCCGGCUAACUACGUGCCAGCAGCCGCGGUA